Molecule: ribosomal RNA, 404 nt
Filed under: uncultured microorganism
Description: bacterial SSU rRNA
Rfam family: Bacterial small subunit ribosomal RNA
Source: RNAcentral
GAGUUUGAUCAUGGCUCAGAUUGAACGCUGGCGGCAUGCCUUACACAUGCAAGUCGAACGGUAACAGGUCUUCGGAUGCUGACGAGUGGCGAACGGGUGAGUAAUACAUCGGAACGUGCCCGAUCGUGGGGGGAUAACGAAGCGAAAGCUUUGCUAAUACCGCAUAAGAUCUACGGAUGAAAGCAGGGGACCGCAAGGCCUUGCGCGAACGGGGCGGCCGAUGGCAGAUUAGGUAGUUGGUGGGAUAAAAGCUUACCAAGCCGACGAUCUGUAGCUGGUCUGAGAGGACGACCAGCCACACUGGGACUGAGACACGGCCCAGACUCCUACGGGAGGCAGCAGUGGGGAAUUUUGGACAAUGGGCGAAAGCCUGAUCCAGCCAUGCCGCGUGCAGGAUGAAGGCC